GAGAGGGUGGGCUGAGGAGGUAACGUACAGGGAGAUGCACUACUGCCUUUCUCUCAGGCACACAGAACAUGUAUGGUCAGGCAGGAAGGCUACUACUGCUGCCUCAGUAGCUGUCAUAGUGACCCAAGGAAUGGAAGAGACAAUGAAGGUGACUGGAUGUGGAAGCUGCAGGAUGUACAUUAUCCUGGAGUGGGUACCUGAAAAGCGCUUUGUUUGAAUGAAGUGCCAAAGCUGAUGGAAGAGACAAUCCAAGGUUUGGAGAUGGAGCUUUCACACAUUGGUCCCUGAGACGGAUCCACACCAAUUUUAGUAUACCUGGAAGAAAGCCAAACGUGUAAGAAGAUCAGACACGUAGCUGCCCAGGGGUUUCAACGAUG
Long non-coding RNA from Chelonia mydas (Green sea turtle), 377 nucleotides. RefSeq lists it as uncharacterized. The record is from RefSeq and is a predicted model, not a curated record. NCBI's taxonomy places the organism in Eukaryota, Metazoa, Chordata, Testudines, Cheloniidae. The transcript has 3 exons.